RNAcentral lists this ribosomal RNA (863 nucleotides) under uncultured fungus. RNAcentral describes it as "SSU rRNA". It matches the Rfam family "Eukaryotic small subunit ribosomal RNA", at positions 564 to 1464 of the family's 1831-position model. The record is from RNAcentral. Lineage: Eukaryota; Fungi.
GUGCCAGCAGCCGCGGUAAUUCCAGCUCCAAUAGCGUAUAUUAAAGUUGUUGCAGUUAAAAAGCUCGUAGUUGAACCUUGGGCCUGGCUAGCCGGUCCGCCUCACCGCGUGUACUGGUCCGGCUGGGCCUUUCCUUCUGGGGAUCCGCAUGCCCUUCACUGGGUGUGCCGGGGAACCAGGACUUUUACUGUGAAAAAAUUAGAGUGUUCAAAGCAGGCCUUCGCUCGAAUACAUUAGCAUGGAAUAAUAGAAUAGGACGUUGCGGUUCUAUUUUGUUGGUUUCUAGGACCGCCGUAAUGAUUAAUAGGGAUAGUCGGGGGCAUCAGUAUUCAAUUGUCAGAGGUGAAAUUCUUGGAUUUAUUGAAGACUAACUACUGCGAAAGCAUUUGCCAAGGAUGUUUUCAUUAAUCAGGAACGAAAGUUAGGGGAUCGAAGACGAUCAGAUACCGUCGUAGUCUUAACCAUAAACUAUGCCGACUAGGGAUCGGGCGAUGUUAUCAUUUUGACUCGCUCGGCACCUUACGAGAAAUCAUAAGUUUUUGGGUUCUGGGGGGAGUAUGGUCGCAAGGCUGAAACUUAAAGAAAUUGACGGAAGGGCACCACCAGGCGUGGAGCCUGCGCUUAAUUUGACUCAACACGGGGAAACUCACCAGGUCCAGACACAAUAAGGAUUGACAGAUUGAGAGCUCUUUUCUUGAUUUUGUGGGUGGUGGUGCAUGGUCCGUUCUUAGUAGGUGGAGUGAUUUGUCUGCUUAAUGCGAUAACGACGAUACUUAUCCUACUAAAUAGCCGGCCCGCUUUGCGGUCGCGCUCUUAGAGGGACUAUCGCUCAAGCCGAUGAAGUUGAGGCAAUAACAGGCCUG